This 619-nucleotide long non-coding RNA is filed under the name Elaeis guineensis (African oil palm). Its description in RNAcentral is "long non-coding RNA (EGUI_LNC074436)". The record is from RNAcentral. Lineage: Eukaryota; Viridiplantae; Streptophyta; Magnoliopsida; Arecales; Arecaceae.
CGGAAUGUGACAUUGGAUCUAUAAAUUUCAGUUUUGAGCAUAAAAAUUUUCAAUCUGGUAAAAUUAGUAGUAAAUGAAUCAUACAUUUAUAUUGUAGGCACCAGACGAAGCAGUGGUUCAUCAAAAUUUUAAGAAUCAAUAUAUUUCUAAAGCUGUUCAUAAGAAUAGUCCAAGAGACUUAGAUUUCUCUUUCAACAACCAUUGCAGGACACACUUGUAAGAUUGGUUUUAUUUAUCACUUUAGUAUAAUGUUAAAUUUCACAAAUCUCAAGAUGAUGAAGCAUGUCUUAAAUCUCGUCAAUAUCCAUAGUUUUGAUUAGAAAGAUAACUAGUUCCAUGUUGCCUCUUUUGUUUUUGUUAGGCAAAAACUUGUGUGGAUGCUAGAUAACUUAUCCAACACAUGAACUGAGAGAUCAAAAUUUUGAACCCUCAACAAUUAUUUGGUAUGUUAUAACAUUUCUAAGACAUAUGAAGGGUAAUGAAAUUCAAUGAUCCAGGUUGAGCCCACAAAGAAUGCCGUACCGGACCGAACUGUCCGGUACGGGGCGUGCCAAACCGUCCCGACGGGGAACCGAGACGGUUCUGGCAUGCAAAACGGCCCAUGCCGGUGCCGGGGAAG